RNAcentral lists this ribosomal RNA (489 nucleotides) under uncultured bacterium. Its description in RNAcentral is "SSU rRNA". It matches the Rfam family "Bacterial small subunit ribosomal RNA", at positions 26 to 518 of the family's 1533-position model. The record is from RNAcentral.
AGAUUGAACGCUGGCGGCAUGCCUUACACAUGCAAGUCGAACGGUAACAGGUUAAGCUGACGAGUGGCGAACGGGUGAGUAAUAUAUCGGAACGUGCCCAGUAGUGGGGGAUAGCCCGGCGAAAGCCGGAUUAAUACCGCAUACGACCUACGGGUGAAAGGGGGGGAUCGCAAGACCUCUCGCUAUUGGAGCGGCCGAUAUCAGAUUAGCUAGUUGGUGGGGUAAAAGCCUACCAAGGCGACGAUCUGUAGCUGGUCUGAGAGGACGACCAGCCACACUGGGACUGAGACACGGCCCAGACUCCUACGGGAGGCAGCAGUGGGGAAUUUUUGGACAAUGGACGCAAGUCUGAUCCAGCCAUGCCGCGUGCGGGAAGAAGGCCUUCGGGUUGUAAACCGCUUUGUCAGGGAAGAAUCCUUUGAAAUAAUACUUCGGAGGGAUGACGGUACCUGAAGAAUAAGCACCGGCUAACUACGUGCCAGCAGCCGC